CCUAUAGUCCCAGCUACAUGGGAGGGUGAGGCAGGAGAAUCACUUAAACCUGGGAGGUGGAGGUUGCAGUGAGCUGAGACCGCACCACCGCACUGCAGCCUGGGUGACAGAGCGAGACUCCAUCUCAAAAAAAAAAAAAGAAAGAAACACAGAAAUAUCAGGCAAGUACUAGUCAACAUCCUACCAAUGAAGUAACAUCCGUGUGGGGUGCAAGAGUGUUUGGGGAGAAAAGCUUGCAACAAUGCAUUCUACAUCAAGAAAAGUAAAACUCUUUGAGGAUGAUGUCAGAGGUUCCGUGUUCAAUUCCAUGUGCCAUCGUUAAACAGAAAUGUGUGAAGAACUACAGAAUGAACCAGGACAACUUGUUCAACGGAUUUAGAUUGCAAAUACAUUAUGGAGUAAAAAUAAUUCAAGUUGGGAAAUACCCCGUAUGAUACAAUUUAUCUACAAAACUUACGAAAGCCAUUUAUGUUGUUAUCAGCAUUUAUUAAUAAUUUUGUGUAUAUUAUAUAUGUCUGCCAUGUACAGAAAAAUAUAUACAGCCGUAUAGAGUCAGUAAUAUAUUAUGUAUUUAUGGACGCACAUAUCAUAUGCAGAGUUUGAGUGUAUACACAUCUACGUAUACAAACACAGUUUGAACACACACACAUACACACACACACACAUAUACACACAGACACACACACACAGACACACACACACACAUCUCAAAAUAGCAUUUCCUACUAAAUGAUGACGUUGCCUGGUGACAAAAAAGACAUGCUUAACUUCAUAUAAUAUUACACAUUUUGAAGUUGGAUAUGUUCACAGAUUACUCACAUAAAUAAUAAUAUUACAGAACAAACAAUUCCCUAAUAAUUAUUAUGUUUUUUUGAGACAAAAAAAAAUUAGCCAGCCAUGGUGACACAUGCCUGUAAUCCCAGCUACUCGGGAGGCUGAGGCAGGAGAAUCGCUUGAACCCAGGAGGCGGAGGUUGCAGUGAGCCGAGAUCGCACCACUGCACUCCAGCCUGGGCAACAAGAGUGAAACUCCACCUCAAAAAAAAAAAAAGAAAGAAAAAGAAAAAGAAAGGUACAGGCACAAAGAACGACCAACGGAAUAUAUUUGGACAAGUAUACCUUCAAAAAUCAAUACCAUGCUAAGGUCACAUUUUUGUGACUUGUAUUUGAACUGGAAAGCAGUGACUACAUCCUUUUAGGCCAAAUAAUGUUGAAACCACUAUUUACAACUUAGUGCACACACCGUUGCUAACCAAAUACCAUAUAACGAACCCUAAAUUGUUAGUCGUGAUGCUAAACUAACUGCAAUCGAUAGCAAGUCAUCAGGAUGCCAUAACUGCAUCUAUCUCUUGAAGUCCUGACCUCAGGUGGUCCACCCACUUCGGCCUCCCAAAGUGCUGGGAUGACAGGUGUGAGCCACCGCGCCCGGCCUUGGAUAUGCCUUUAUCAACAGCAUGAAAAUGGACUAAUACAUACUCUUUUACUUAUCUUAAAAUGUACAAUUAAAUUAUUUUGACGAUAGUCACCCUGUUGUACUAUUGAAUACUAGCUAUGAAUAAUUACAUCACGGAGAAUGGAAUUCUUUUUCUUUUAUUUUCUUUCAUCUUUUUCUUUCUAUUUUCUUUUCCAUGAAACAAAACAUCAGAUGAGCGUCCAACCGUGAUAAACUCUUCUGUGCCAUUUUCAAACUGUCUUGGUCUAUCUUUCAUUCAUUAGGCAACGUGUUCUCUUCUUCAUUUUCAAACGACACUCUUAAUACUGUCAUACCAGGAGGAAAAAAAAAAAAAAAAA
Long non-coding RNA from Macaca fascicularis (crab-eating macaque), 1790 nucleotides. The record is from Ensembl. Lineage: Eukaryota; Metazoa; Chordata; Mammalia; Primates; Cercopithecidae.